This 254-nucleotide ribosomal RNA is filed under the name uncultured bacterium. Its description in RNAcentral is "partial 16S ribosomal RNA". It matches the Rfam family "Bacterial small subunit ribosomal RNA", at positions 524 to 776 of the family's 1533-position model. The record is from RNAcentral.
GACGAACCGUGCGAACGUUAUUCGGAAUCACUGGGCUUAAAGCGCGUGUAGGCGAGUGGGAACGUCGGCCGCUGAAAUCCCCCGGCUCAACCGGGGAAGUGGCGCCGAAACGGCCCGCCUGGAGGAACGUAGGGGGAGCUGGAACUUCCGGUGGAGCGGUGAAAUGCGUUGAGAUCGGAAGGAACGCCCGUGGCGAAAGCGAGCUCCUGGACGUUUUCUGACGCUGAGACGCGAAAGCCAGGGGAGCGAACGGG